This is a long non-coding RNA of Ochlerotatus camptorhynchus, 1536 nucleotides long. RefSeq lists it as uncharacterized. The transcript is spliced from 4 exons. The record is from RefSeq and is a predicted model, not a curated record. NCBI's taxonomy places the organism in Eukaryota, Metazoa, Arthropoda, Insecta, Diptera, Culicidae.
UAAAACACUCGCUUUUCGAGAAUAUAGGUGCUUCGCAUUAAUUGCAUAUUAUAAUAUGUCUUAUCGAUCUUUAUUUUAUAUUUCCCAAAAUAAGCAAGUCCAAAACUACCCAACGCUAAGUUUAUCAAGUAUAGUUAACGUUGCGUAAAAUAUACUUAAAAUUGGAUGAAAAUUUCCUCCAGUGUUAUUGCAAACUACGGCGCCAUAAUUGUUUCGAUCUUUGACAAGGCAAGUUGGUUUCUGUAUAUUUUUCAGUUUUAAGGAUUAUUUUAAACACAAAAUUCGUGGACAACUCCUGUCUCGUCUCCUGAUAUUUUUGAUUGAUUGAUUUUUGGAUUCCGAUUUUGUUUGCUGUGUUUUUUUCUAGAUUUGGCUGAGCUUCCGGCAGGCUUAGCAGUGGUUGUGUGAUAGCCGUUCGAGCUUACAGCAGGAUCAGUGCUGUUUUGUAAUUGGAUCACCAGAUUUUCUUGAUUUGGCCGAGUGUCCGGCAGAUUUGGUGAAGCUUCCUGCCAGCUACAAUACGACCGUUCCGGUCAAUACCGGUAUUGUUCCUUGCCGUUGAGAGUAUUUUCAGUGGUAGCCGGAUUGCGCUUUCACCUCGCUUGAGGUGGUUUUUUCGGUUUUGGCUGAGCUUCCGGCAGGCGUAGAGUGGUUGUGCGACAGCCGUUCCAGUUGUUAACCACUUCCCUGGUUAACGUUGGCGGUGGAUUUCCUGGAUUUAACUGAGCCUCCGGUAGCUUUGGCUAAGCUUCCGUUCGGCUACAGUACAAUAAUCGUUCCGGGUUAGUGUUGUAAGAAUGAUGUUAUUUUAACAACAUUGGUUGAUUUUUAAUUCUAUGUUAAUUUUAGGUUUCUCUCUGCAGCAGCAGUUCCAUUUUCAUUUCGCUUGUCGCAGAUUUUCCGGAUUUGGCAGAGCUUCCAGCAGAUUUGGUUAAGCAUCCGGCUGGCAACAUAACAAUAGCCAUUCCAGUUGACAACUGUAGUUGGAUUACACUUCCACUUCACGGUGGAUUUUCCGGACUUGGCUUAACCUCUGACAGAUAACAUUGCAACCGUUCCAGUUGACAGUAUUUUCAGUUGUAGAAGGAUUUCGCUUUCACUUUACUUACGGUGAUUUUUCCGGAUUUGACUGAGCUCCUGGCAGGCGUUGCAGUGGAAGCAGCCAGUUGACAACAGUACCCGGUAAUUUUUACGCUUCCUCUUCCCUUGCGGCGGAUUUUCUGAAUUUGGCUGAGCCCCUUGCUGAUUUGGCUAAACCUCCGACCGUUCUAGUUGGCAGUAUCUUGUAAGUAUGAUGUUAUUUUAAUAACAUUGAUUGAUUUUAGGUUAUAUAUUAAAUUUCUCUCUGCAGCAUUGGUAGAAGGAUUGCGCAAAGCGCAUUUCACUUGCGGUGGUUUUUCGGUUUGUCUGAGCUUCCGAUUGGCGUACAGUCCAAUCAAACGUCAAACGGUUUCGAAUUGAUGAUAUCACGGAAUGGAACGGCUGCAAAAAAAAUUGGACGGCGGUUCCUAUGAAAAGCUCACUGGUAAGUGUGAU